RNAcentral lists this long non-coding RNA (1264 nucleotides) under Homo sapiens (human). RNAcentral describes it as "HSALNT0332517". The record is from RNAcentral. Lineage: Eukaryota; Metazoa; Chordata; Mammalia; Primates; Hominidae.
CCAUUUUAUAAACACAGAAACAGAGAUUCAAAAGGGUCAGGUCACUGGCUCCAGGUCAACUCUACUACUAAACAGAAAAGCAAGGACCAAAAUUCAGAUCUUUGUGACCCUCAAUGCCACUAUGCCAUGCGAUGAUGCCUGCCUCUUUUAGAGGCCAACUAAUAGGCCAACUUGAUUUUCUUGAGGAAUGGCCGAAUGGAAGUUGAAUGGUUGAAGGUGACUGGCAAACAGAGAAACAAGGCACCAAGAACUGGCUAUUUCCAAACGUGGGCAAUCAGCUUCUGAAUGAAUAGUUCAGAAUGAUGCAGCUCUGGAUGUUGGAAAGGACAAUUCCGGCGUUUUACUCUUCUGACCAGUUUCUUCGUUUUCAUAACUCUACUUGAAGAACAUAUGAUGUUUGCCAGUGUCUGACAUUACGGACCUCACAGCUUACUGAAUCUGAAAACAGGAGAUAGAGAUGGAAAGGAAAGCCUCAGGAACUUGUUGCAAUAGGGACUGCCAGGUCCCGUUGCACUAUUGGUGGAAGAGAGGUCCACACGGUGCCUACGAUAAGCGAUUUGUUCGUAUCUAUCCAGACUGCAGGUGCAUACAGCCACUCAUCCUCAAAUGCCAUCCUCAGGAGUUUAUGCUGCACACAGACUGGCACAUGUGCAGGAAGACAUAGUGCAGGGCUACGUGCUACAACAUUGUUGGUGACAGCAACAUAUUGGAAGCAACCUGAAUUUUUGUUAAUAGAGGAUUGGCUACAUAAAUGAUGCUAAUCUAUACAACUGGAGUACUAUGAUGCCAUAAAAAAGAAUGUACAAGGUCUUUACGUUUGGAAAGAUCUCUAAGAUAUAAUGACCUGAACCUCAGGAGAUCUGGAGUAUGUGCUGAAUUCUACUGGGAACUGAGCCCUCUGAAUAUUAUUAUUGUUUUGCUAAUACUUUUUGCUGGAAAGUACAUCAAACCAGGAUGUGUUGUACCUCUUGCUUUGCCAGACUAUUUAAAAGCAAAAGUGACCAGAUAUCCAACUUAAGGCUGAUCCAGGUUUUUCAUGAUCUAGCCAGGGGAGACAAACCUUCCAGGAAAGUCUCUAGCGAAGGCCAAGGAUUUUAGAAAGUAUCUGUGAACAAAGAAAUGCAAUGUUAGUGGGCUAAUUUCCAUAAUCAAAUGAAGCUGAUGCAAGUGCUUUGUGAAUUGAUGCCCAUCAACGAGAGACUGGAUAAAGAAAAUGUGGCACAUAUACGCCAUGGAAUACUAUGUAGCCGUAAAAAUGAACAAG